RNAcentral lists this ribosomal RNA (1509 nucleotides) under Demequina sp. RNAcentral describes it as "bacterial SSU rRNA". It matches the Rfam family "Bacterial small subunit ribosomal RNA". Lineage: Bacteria; Bacillati; Actinomycetota; Actinomycetes; Micrococcales; Demequinaceae. The record is from RNAcentral.
GAGUUUGAUCAUGGCUCAGGACGAACGCUGGCGGCGUGCUUAACACAUGCAAGUCGAACGAUGACCUCGGAGCUUGCUCCGGGUGAUUAGUGGCGAACGGGUGAGUAACACGUGAGUAACCUGCCCCAGACUCUGGGAUAAGCCUUGGAAACGAGGUCUAAUACCGGAUACGAAACAGGAUCGCAUGAUCACUGUUUGGAAAGUUUUUCGGUCUGGGAUGGACUCGCGGCCUAUCAGCUUGUUGGCGGGGUAACGGCCCACCAAGGCGACGACGGGUAGCCGGCCUGAGAGGGCGACCGGCCACACUGGAACUGAGACACGGUCCAGACUCCUACGGGAGGCAGCAGUGGGGAAUAUUGCACAAUGGGCGAAAGCCGGAUGCAGCGACGCCGCGUGGGGGAUGAAGGCCUUCGGGUUGUAAACCCCUUUUAGCAGGGAAGAAGCGAAAGUGACGGUACCUGCAGAAAAAGCGCCGGCUAACUACGUGCCAGCAGCCGCGGUAAUACGUAGGGCGCAAGCGUUGUCCGGAAUUAUUGGGCGUAAAGAGCUCGUAGGCGGUUUGUCGCGUCUGCUGUGAAAUCCCGAGGCUCAACCUCGGGCCUGCAGUGGGUACGGGCAAACUAGAGUGUGGUAGGGGAGACUGGAAUUCCUGGUGUAGCGGUGGAAUGCGCAGAUAUCAGGAGGAACACCAAUGGCGAAGGCAGGUCUCCGGGCCACUACUGACGCUGAGGAGCGAAAGCGUGGGGAGCGAACAGGAUUAGAUACCCUGGUAGUCCACGCCGUAAACGGUGGGCGCUAGGUGUGGGUUUCCUUCCACGGGAUCCGUGCCGUAGCUAACGCAUUAAGCGCCCCGCCUGGGGAGUACGGCCGCAAGGCUAAAACUCAAAGGAAUUGACGGGGGCCCGCACAAGCGGCGGAGCAUGCGGAUUAAUUCGAUGCAACGCGAAGAACCUUACCAAGGCUUGACAUAUAGGAUCCAUCCCUAGAGAUAGGGAGUGCUUCGGCGUCCUAUACAGGUGGUGCAUGGUUGUCGUCAGCUCGUGUCGUGAGAUGUUGGGUUAAGUCCCGCAACGAGCGCAACCCUCGUCCUAUGUUGUCAGCAUUUAGUUGGGGACUCAUAGGAGACUGCCGGGGUCAACUCGGAGGAAGGUGGGGAUGACGUCAAAUCAGCAUGCCCCUUAUGUCUUGGGCUUCACGCAUGCUACAAUGGCCGGUACAAAGGGCUGCAAUACCGUAAGGUGGAGCGAAUCCCAAAAAGCCGGUCUCAGUUCGGAUUGAGGUCUGCAACUCGACCUCAUGAAGUUGGAGUCGCUAGUAAUCGCAGAUCAGCAACGCUGCGGUGAAUACGUUCCCGGGCCUUGUACACACCGCCCGUCAAGUCACGAAAGUCGGUAACACCCGAAGCCGUCGGCCCAACCCUUUGGGAGGGAGACGUCUAAGGUGGGAUUGGCGAUUGGGACUAAGCCGUAACAAGGUAGCCGUACCGGAAGGUGCGGUUGGAUCACCUCC